Molecule: ribosomal RNA, 510 nt
Filed under: uncultured bacterium
Lineage: Bacteria
Description: bacterial SSU rRNA
Rfam family: Bacterial small subunit ribosomal RNA
Source: RNAcentral
AGAUCAUGGCUCAGGAUGAACGCUGGCGGCGUGCCUAAUACAUGCAAGUCGAACGAGAGUGCUUGCACUCUAGUGGCGAACGGGUGAGUAACACGUAGGUAACCUGCCUUACAGUUGGGAUACCCUGGCGAAAGCUAGGCUAAUACCGAAUAAUUGGAUUGGAGGCAUCUCCGAUCUCUAAAAGGGGCCUUUAAAGCCUCGCUGAAUGAUGGACCUGCGGCGCAUUAGCUAGUUGGUGAGAUAACAGCCCACCAAGGCGAGGAUGCGUAGCCGACCUGAGAGGGUGAACGGCCACACUGGAACUGAGACACGGUCCAGACUCCUACGGGAGGCAGCAGUAGGGAGUUUUCGGCAAUGGGGGCAACCCUGACCGAGCAACGCCGCGUGAAUGAUGAAAGGUCUUCGGAUUGUAAAGUUCUGUUAUAAGGGAAAAAUGAUAUGGUGAGGAAAUGCUCCAUAUUUGAUGGUACCUUAUUAGAAAGCCACGGCUAACUACGUGCCAGCAGCUGC